CCUACGGGAGGCAGCAGUGAAGGAAUUUUGGACAAUGGGGGGGAAACCCCUGAUCCAGCGGACGCCGGCGUGAUCGAUGAAGGCCUUCGGGUCGUAAAGAUCUUUCAGCGGGGAAUAUCAUGAAGGUACCCGCAGAAGCAGGAGCGGCUAACUACGUGCCAGCAGCCGCGGUAAUACGUAGGCUCCAAGCGUUGUUCGGAAUUACUGGGCGUAAAGCGAGUGUAGGCGGUCCGCCAAGUCGAUUGUGAAAUCUCCCGGCUCAACCGGGAGGGUGCGGUCGAUACUGGCGGACUAGAGUGCGGUAAGAGGAAGGUAGAAUUCCUGGUGUAGCGGUGGAAUGCGUAGAUAUCAGGAGGAAUGCCGGUGGUGAAGACGGCCUUCUGGCACCGCAACUGACGCUGUAGACUCGAAAGCGUGGGGAGCAAACAGGCAUUAGAUACCCUGGUAGUCCACGCCCUAAACGAUGCAUACUUGGUGUGGGCUCUUCACUGAGUCCGUGCCGGAGCUACCGCGUUAAGUAUGCCGCCUGGGGAGUACGGUCGCAGGCUGAAACUCAAAGGAAUUGACGG
Molecule: ribosomal RNA, 569 nt
Filed under: uncultured bacterium
Lineage: Bacteria
Description: bacterial SSU rRNA
Rfam family: Bacterial small subunit ribosomal RNA
Source: RNAcentral